Long non-coding RNA from Oncorhynchus tshawytscha (Chinook salmon), 374 nucleotides. The record is from Ensembl. Lineage: Eukaryota; Metazoa; Chordata; Actinopteri; Salmoniformes; Salmonidae.
CAGUCCAGCUAUAGGGAGGAGGUGUAGGGAGGAGGUGUAGGGAGGAGGUGUACCACCCAGCUGACAGUCCAGCUAUAGGGAGGAGGUGUAGGGAGGAGGUGUACCACCCAGCUAACAGUCCAGCUUAUAGGGAGGAGGUGUAGGGAGGUGGUGUACCACCCAGCUAACAGUCCAGCUAUAGGGAGGAGGUGUAGGGAGGAGGUGUAGGGAGGAGGUGUACCACACAGCUAACAGUCCAGCUAUAGGGAGGAGGUGUAGGGAGGAGGUGUAGGGAGGAGGUGUACCACACAGCUAACAGUCCAGCUAUAGGGAGGAGGUGUAGGGAGGAGGUGUAGGGAGGAGGUGUACCACCCAGCUAACAGUCCAGCUAUAGG